RNAcentral lists this long non-coding RNA (608 nucleotides) under Oryctolagus cuniculus (rabbit). Its description in RNAcentral is "lncRNA (ENSOCUG00000035018.1)". The record is from RNAcentral. Lineage: Eukaryota; Metazoa; Chordata; Mammalia; Lagomorpha; Leporidae.
AUGGCACUGUUUCUCUGGGACAUACCUCUGCAGACAUGGACAGUGAUGUGUGGUGACAGCAGUUCAUCCUGUGACUUCCCUUCACUCCUCAAGCUGUUGGGAUCCAGUGGAAGAGGAGAGUUUUGUGGUGCUGAGGCUGCUUAUUUAAUACCUGGUGGAGAGGAAGGCGCCCGCCAUUAUCACCUGCUGUACUGUGAUUCAGUUGUGUUGGUAUUGGUGUUGCCCAUGAUAUUAAUCUACUUCAAAAUGUUAACUUCUGCUCUGCAGGUCAGCGUGGCUGCAGGAGGACCUCCUCCUUUCCCAAGACCACCCUACAUGCCCUACCCCAUGGGGGGCUACAGAGAAUCCUUCAUGGGCUAUCCGCCACCUCCUCCACCCUGGUGGUUUCCAAGACCUCGGCCAGUACCUCUGUCUCCAGAAUUUGGAGAGCCAUUGUGGAAUUGGAAUAGGAAGCUCAGCUAUCCGGAACAGGCUGUGCCUGUGAGUCAAAAAGCCACCUGAUGCCCAUUUUCCAAAUGUUUUCCCUGUCCCACGAAGACUCUUCCUCUCUUAUCUGUCUGAGUGAUUCCCCUAAUAAACCUUGUGUGGUGCUGACUUUGCCUAAGUGU